Molecule: long non-coding RNA, 2304 nt
Organism: Canis lupus familiaris (dog)
Lineage: Eukaryota; Metazoa; Chordata; Mammalia; Carnivora; Canidae
Exons: 5
Source: RefSeq, a predicted model, not a curated record
CAGGACCACACCCCGAGCCGAAGGCAGACGCUCAACCGCUGAGCCACCUAGGAAUCCCUAACAGCAGGGAGCUGAUGCGGUAAAUCUACAGGCAAGACCACAAACCACACACUGCAGAAGAGCAGCAGAGCAUCGCUCCCAGGUCUGUGACCCAGACACUGCAGGACCCGAAGGGCACCUGGAGAUACCAGUGUUGCACAGCACUUAGGAGCUAGGGCUCCAGAUUCUUCUGCCUGAGGGAGGGCUCAGUCCUGGCUCCCUGGCCUUGAGAAAUUCGUGGAAUGUCUCGGACCCUCAGGUUCCUCCUCUCUGACAUGGGGAUGAAAAUAAUUCUACCUACCUCGUAAGGAAUCUUGGAAGACCUAAAUAAGAAAUGCUCAGCCCAGUGCCUGGUGGAAAAUAGACACUCAGUAAUCAUCACUGUGGUUGCUUUUAUUAUUAUCUAACCCAUAAAUUACAAGCCACUCAAGGAAAACCACUCAAGGAGGUGAUUUUGACCUUGUAAGUAUGAGAGAUACUUGGUACCAAUCAGGUUUUCAAAGCUCUCAAUGAAGAAAACCCAAACACCGCAUUAGAGCACACACAUCCCCAAACAAACUUCUGAGCAGGAAAAUGAAGUCAACCCCCCCUCGUGUGAGCUGCCUCAAUAAAGUGCUUAUUUGUAUAAAUGUUCACACAGUUAGGCUAACAGACGUGAAGGAAAAACAUCCACUAAAAUGUUAAGACAAAACACAAGAUCUCAGGUGGUCCUCGACCUUCUUCCUUUGUCUUCUUCACUCAGCAGCAGUAGCUGGAGCCAUAAGGCAUUUUCACAUGGAACUUAGAGCCACCAUUGGCAUUUCUCAGCUGAGAAAAGUUAUUUGAGCAGCUAAUUUGCAUACAAGAUCUUGCCCCAAAAGAGGAAUUGGAUAGUCAGGUGUCAGAAGCAAAACCUGAAUCAGCUUCGCCUGUUGUUCUUCCUCAGCAUUCUAAGUCUUGUAAGCAAUCUGCACCAAAUGGGCCAAACUCAGAGUCACGGCACCCUCCACUUUAAUAGCUUUUGCCUGGUGUCAGGAGCACUCUGCCUAAUGAAGGACAUAUUGAUCAGCUAUGUAUUCUCAAGGGCCUUGGUGUCUAAAUUGGUGUGUUCAGCUAUUUUUUUUUCCCUAGGGUCAUCUUAACAUGAAGGGUUUUGAGAUUUCCAAUUUAAUGAAUCCAAGGUAGAAAAUGGACUAUAGGUCCAAUAAUAAGCAGCCAGCUGGACUUGUCCAUUCACUCCAACAGGCAGUUGGCACACCAAAAAUUGCCUUACCCCUACAUCAGGUGGGCCCCAUCUGAAUUGGGUGCCCUGUUGGGUCUUUAAUGGGGAGACCCAUUCCCAUUUGUAGAGUCAUAACUUGGGGGUCUCUCUUAUUGAUUGCACCCUCCCUUCCACUCCUCGACCUUGCAACAAAGGACAGAGAUGUUCCAGAGAAACAGUAUUUUUUUUUUAUGAUUUUAUUUAUUUGAGAAAGCACAAGAGAGUGAAAUAGCAGAAGGAGGGCAGAGGGAGAAACAGACUCCCAGCUGAGCAGGGAGCCCUAAGACCCUGAGGUCAUGACCUAAGCCAAAGGCAGAUGCUUAACUGACCAAGCCACCCAGGAGUCCCCAGAGAAACAGUCUCAAACCUAGUAUUUUUUCUCCCUGUGGCAGAGGAAGGGCUGCUCGGGGUGAUGGUACAGAGGCCUGACCACAAUUUGGAUUAAAAGGGUUCAUUACACUCAAAGUCAACAUGUCUUCAUUUGCUUUGUCUUCCAGGGUUCAAGAAUCAUCAAACAGUGGAGAUUGCUUCUCCCAAACUAUAAGCAAGAUUCAGUACACGCACCGGGGGACUUUCCCAAUUAUGGCAGAGGAAUCUCAAUGCUCUCCUUUCACUAUGUUCCUUCUUUCUUGAAAGACAUUCCCUGUGACUCAGCAUCUGGGCAGCCACAAGGCCUAGAACAGGGAGGUCCUCGAGGUCAAACAGACGUCAGCAGGUGCCUCCCAGGGGCUCCUCCAAGUCCUGUGUUUUCAAAACCAGAUACACUGAGAAGCUGCUCCCAACAUGGGCAUCCUGAGGACGGCCUCAUCCCUCCACACUCCCUACUAGGAGAUACCAGAGCAGAAGGAGGCUUUACGAAUCCCUUUGGCCAAAGAGAAGUGGGAGUGCAGACAGAGGAAGUGAUGGCCCAAAGGCACACAACCUCUGCGGAGGCCCGGAUGACUCCCCGCCACCCACCCUCUCUAUGCUGCAACUCUAUCACCAGCACCUUUUCCCCAGCAAUAAAGCAAAAAUGCCUCUUUAUA